UACGGAGGGUGCAAACGUUGUUCGGAAUCACUGGGCAUAAAGAGCAUGUAGGCGGUCUAAUUAGUUGGGUGUGAAAUCCCUCGGCUCAACCGGGGAACUGCAUCCAAUACUGUUAGGCUUGAGGAUGGUUGGGGUGAGUGGAACUCCUGGUGGAGCGGUGAAAUGCGUAGAUAUCAGGAGGAACACCGGUGGCGAAGGCG
Molecule: ribosomal RNA, 200 nt
Filed under: uncultured bacterium
Lineage: Bacteria
Description: partial 16S ribosomal RNA
Rfam family: Bacterial small subunit ribosomal RNA
Source: RNAcentral